Halichondria panicea is the source of this 2596-nucleotide long non-coding RNA. RefSeq lists it as uncharacterized. Lineage: Eukaryota; Metazoa; Porifera; Demospongiae; Suberitida; Halichondriidae. The record is from RefSeq and is a predicted model, not a curated record. The transcript is spliced from 3 exons.
UAAUAAUUAUUGUACAGUACUAGAUGAUCUUCUCUGUUUUGGGUCAGAUGCAAUCACUAGCCAGUUUAAAACAUUUCUUCUACUCUUGGCUUAAGAAAUUGUAUUUUAUUAUUGUACCAGCAUUAGGUAGUUAACUCCACUUAUGCAUUGACCUCUACUACCGUGUAGCGGGAAAUUUCGUUAUUUGAGCCCCUGAGAAAUGUUGUAUAGUUGUUCACAUUUCAAUGCCAAGAAACCAAUAGCUUUGCAUGUGAAAUACUGGUGCGUGGGAGUGUCUUCCAUUUAUAUUACAUGAAGUGUGAAGUGUGUUGUAAGUUUGUACAGAGAGGACUCCCAUGGUGGCAAUGAAUGUAUGGCAAUGAUCUGAUGAUGGCUCCACUGCUCUGAUGGACCAAUGCAGGAGAAGUUAUUCUGUAUAAUUAUUACACUAAAUUAAUGUAUGCCACUGUUUGGAUCGGUUUCUGUUCUGCUCAGCUUCUUCCUCCAACUUGCUUACGCAGGCUAAGCUUAUUCUUAAUUAGUUCAUUCUUAGUUCAUUCUAUAGUCUAGUAUAUUGUCGGUUUGGUUGUUUUAUGUUUUUCACCUGGUCAUACGGAAUCACUUCAUUAAUUUUUAUACAGUGCAGACCACACCUCUAUCCACACAUUGUACCUGCACAUCCUGUAUAUAUGGGGCCACACCCCCACUCACUGUACUGAUAUGUGGUCACACCCCCAUACAUGGUAACCCUCUUGACCACACCCCAAUCCUAUUCUGUGUUUUUGUGUACAGUACACACAUCAUCCGUGUCUUUAUCCCCACACCUAGUCGGAGGGAGCAGCAAGUUCUACUAAGAGCCAGCAUCACCCACUAACCAACACUCUACAAGACCUACCUACUACCAGCUAGGACAGCACACCACCCGGGACAGACUCUACUAUACCCAUGUAAUACGCCUUUGUAUUACGAUCAUGAUACAAUUUGCUGCCCUCCCUCGCCAAUGGAUUGAAUAAUUAUGGACACUCGCAGGACAACUAAGAGACUGACACACAAUAAUAGACACCAAAGGCAGUGUAUGUGAUUUUCUGACAGGAAAGGCUACUCUAAACAAAGGGAGUCGGCCACACAAGGUAUAGUCUGAUAAUUAUUGUACGGUACCUUCUCUGUUUUGGGUCAGAUGCAAUUGCCUUCAAUCACUAGCCAGUUUAAAACAUUUCUUCUACUCUUGGCUUAAGAAAUUGUAUUUUAUUAUUGUACCAGCAUUAGGUAGUUAACUCCACUUAUGCAUUGACCUCUACUACUGUGUAGCGGGAAAGUUCGUUAUUUGAGCCCUCGAGAAAUGUUGUAUAGUUGUUCACAUUUCAAUGCCAGGAAACCAUAGCUUUGCAUGGUGCGUGGGAGUGUCUUCCAUUUUUAUUACAUGAAGUGUGAAGUGUGUUGUAAGUUUGUAUAGAGAGGACUCCCAUGGUGGCAAUGAUCUGAUGAUGGCUCCACUGCUCUGAUGGACCAAUGCAGGAGAAGUUAUUCUGUAUAAUUAUUACACUAAAUUAAUGUAUGCCACUGUUUGGAUCGGUUUCUGUUCUGCUCAGCUUCUUCCUCCAACUUGCUUACGCAGGCUAAGCUUAUUCUUAAUUAGUUCAUUCUUAGUUCAUUCUAUAGUCUAGUAUUAUUGUCGGUUUGGUUGUUUUAUGUUUUUCACCUGGUCAUACGGAAUCACUUCAUUAAUUUUUAUACAGUGCAGACCACACCUCUAUCCACACAUUGUACCUGCACAUCCUGUAUAUAUGGGGCCACACCCCCACUCACUGUACUGAUAUGUGGUCACACCCCCAUACAUGGUAACCCUCUUGACCACACCCCAAUCCUAUGCUGUGUUUUUGUGUACAGUACACACAUCAUCCGUGUCUUUAUCCCCACACCUAGUCGGAGGGAGCAGCAAGUUCUACUAAGAGCCAGCAUCACCCACUAACCAACACUCUACAAGACCUACCUACUACCAGCUAGGACAGCACACCACCCGGGACAGACUCUACUAUACCCAUGUAAUACGCCUUUGUAUUACGAUCAUGAUACAAUUUGCUGCCCUCCCUCGCCAAUGGAUUGAAUAAUUAUGGACACUCGCAGGACAACUAAGAGACUGACACACAAUAAUAGACACCAAAGGGUUACUGUAUCAUGUACGAAUAUUCUGUUGCUUGUACAUUUCGUAACAUUAUCAGUAAUUGACUGUAGAGUAGCAUCUUGAGCUCCCCUUUCUUCAUCACUCAAUCUGCAGGCAGUGUAUGUGAUUUUCUGACAGGAAAGGCUACUCUAAACAAAGGGAGUCGGCCACACAAGUCGGAGGGAGCAGCAAGUUCUACUAAGAGCCAGCAUCACCAACUAACCAACACUACAAGACCUACCUACUACCAGCUAGGACAGCACACCACCCGGGACAGACUCUACUAUACCAUGUAAUACGCCUUUUUAUUACGAUCAUGAUACAAUUUGCUGCCCUCCCUUGCCCAUGGAUUGAAUAAUUAUGGACACUCGCAGGACAACUAAGAGACUGACACACAAUAAUAGAAACCUAACUGCAUUUUUGCCAUUAAUAUAAUAAAAAUAAUUUUGCCAUUAA